UACGAAGGGGGCUAGCGUUGUUCGGAAUUACUGGGCGUAAAGCGCACGUAGGCGGAUAUUUAAGUCAGGGGUGAAAUCCCAGAGCUCAACUCUGGAACUGCCUUUGAUACUGGGGUAUCUUGAGUAUGGAAGAGGUAAGUGGAAUUGCGAGUGUAGAGGUGAAAUUCGUAGAUAUUCGCAGGAACACCAGUGGCGAAGGCGGCUUACUGGUCCAUUACUGACGCUGAGGUGCGAAAG
This 237-nucleotide ribosomal RNA is filed under the name uncultured bacterium. RNAcentral describes it as "partial 16S ribosomal RNA". It matches the Rfam family "Bacterial small subunit ribosomal RNA", at positions 524 to 759 of the family's 1533-position model. The record is from RNAcentral.